GACGAACGCUGGCGGCGUGCCUAAUACAUGCAAGUGGGACGCAAGGAAACACACUGUGCUUGCACACCGUGUUUUCUUGAGUCGCGAACGGGUGAGUAACGCGUAGGUAACCUGCCUAUUAGCGGGGGAUAACUAUUGGAAACGAUAGCUAAUACCGCAUAAUAUUAAUUAUUGCAUGAUAAUUGAUUGAAAGAUGCAAGCGCAUCACUAGUAGAUGGACCUGCGUUGUAUUAGCUAGUUGGUAAGGUAAGAGCUUACCAAGGCGACGAUACAUAGCCGACCUGAGAGGGUGAUCGGCCACACUGGGACUGAGACACGGCCCAGACUCCUACGGGAGGCAGCAGUAGGGAAUCUUCGGCAAUGGACGAAAGUCUGACCGAGCAACGCCGCGGGAGUGAAGAAGGUUUUCGGAUCGUAAAGCUCUGUUGUAAGUCAAGAACGUGUGUGAGAGUGGAAAGUUCACACAGUGACGGUAGCUUACCAGAAAGGGACGGCUAACUACGUG
This 505-nucleotide ribosomal RNA is filed under the name uncultured bacterium. RNAcentral describes it as "partial 16S ribosomal RNA". It matches the Rfam family "Bacterial small subunit ribosomal RNA", at positions 28 to 507 of the family's 1533-position model. The record is from RNAcentral.